RNAcentral lists this ribosomal RNA (266 nucleotides) under uncultured Glomus. Its description in RNAcentral is "partial 18S ribosomal RNA". It matches the Rfam family "Eukaryotic small subunit ribosomal RNA", at positions 548 to 822 of the family's 1831-position model. The record is from RNAcentral. Lineage: Eukaryota; Fungi; Glomeromycota; Glomeromycetes; Glomerales; Glomeraceae.
UUGGAGGGCAAGUCUGGUGCCAGCAGCCGCGGUAAUUCCAGCUCCAAUAGCGUAUAUUAAAGUUGUUGCAGUUAAAAAGCUCGUAGUUGAAUUUCGGGAUCAGACUGUCGGUCGUGCCUCGGUACGCACUGGCAUUAUUGGUUCCUACCUUCUGAAGAACCGCGAUGUCAUUAAUUUGGUGUCGUGGGGAAUCAGGACUGUUACUUGAAAAAAUUGAGUGUUUAAAGCAAGCUAACGCUUGAAUACAUUAGCAUGGAAUAAUGAAA